RNAcentral lists this transfer RNA (90 nucleotides) under Pseudorhodoplanes sp. Its description in RNAcentral is "tRNA-Ser". It matches the Rfam family "tRNA". From Rfam's summary of the family: Transfer RNA (tRNA) molecules are approximately 80 nucleotides in length. Lineage: Bacteria; Pseudomonadati; Pseudomonadota; Alphaproteobacteria; Hyphomicrobiales. The record is from RNAcentral.
GGAGGAGUGGCAGAGUGGUCGAAUGCACCGGUCUUGAAAACCGGCGUGCGCGAAAGCGUACCGUGGGUUCGAAUCCCACCUCCUCCGCCA